CCGAGUAGAGGAUGAAGCGGCUCCUGGAUGGAGGCAGAGGCUUCCUGGAUCUUCAAGUUCUGUAUGGGUUGUUGUAUGAGUUCUUAGUUCAAGACACCAAGAGCCUGGACACCCUCCACUGGUAACAAAAGUAACUGGUGUUUUUGCCAUUAGAAGUAAUGGCACAGAACAAGUACAUGAGAGCGAUUUCUUAUGGAAAAUUAAAUGGCGCAUAAGUCGUGUGCUCAGGUGCAAGUAGCUGGGCCAGAAGGACCUCGGCACGUUACGGAAUAUUUACUACAGGAACAGGUGAGCUGAAGGCGAAUUCCCCAGGUGUAGCCUGUGACCAUAGAUUCAGACAAAGCCCUGACUGUUGCCUGGAAUUCAAAAAAGCUGUAGCCCUACCAGAUAGAAUAAGAAAAGAAUAUAGGAUUCUUCCUAUUCAAAUAGGUUGCAUAUAAUUAAGAGCAUGAACGAUCCAAUGGAAUGAACUCAAAGUAGUUUUUGAGUGUAAUAGACUUGAAGUGUCUUAUGGAAAAGAAUUGCAAAACCACAGAAACAGUGAAGAAGGUUAGUUAUAGCCUUGAUGGGGUAGCUGACUUCAGCAGUCUCAGCUAUCUGAAAAGUUAUUUACCAGAUUUUGGUUGGGAACAUAAUCCCUAAAUCAUUUGAGAUAAUGUACUUGUUUCCUUACUGGGUAAAUGUGUUUAAACCUUGAGAAAAUGUAGACAUAAGUAGAAUAUAGAAUAAAUUAAACCUUUGGUAGUUAUGUUUUAGGAUUAAGGACUAAUAAGUACAUAUUUGAUAUUUAAGCAUUUGUAAUGCUUGAGAUAAUUUAUCCUACUCAAGUAACAGAUUACUCUUGUGACUCCAAUGUAAAAUAUAUCAUUGAAAAAUUAGUAUCUGCUUGUGAUUUUUAAGUAGAAACCCUGCCAUUUGAAAGGUAUUUGCCUUUAUUAUUGGAGAUAUUUCAUAUGAAUGUUUAACUUUGUUAUUGCAUAGAAGUAUUUAAACAGAUUUCACUUGCAAGAGAAAGAUAUCUAAUAGGUUACUCUUAAUCAGUACUAAAUUACUACAAUUACUAUAUUCUAUUAAUAUCGAUUCAUUAAAACCCAGAGCUUUAAUUAUGUCUCAGAAAAUUAAUUAAACUUUAGCCUCAUAAUCAGCUUUAUUUUCUAACUCAAUGUUUAAAAAUUGACAAGUAUGUAUUAUACUUAUUUAUGUCUUCAUUCAGUAAACAUUUGCAUUUGUAGCAUGCAAGACAACAUGCUAGACACACGAAAGAUGGAAUAAAUGGAAGAAAAUGCAACACAGAUCUCAUGCUUAAGAGGGACAGAUUUACUCUGAAGAUUCAAUGAAAAAACAUCCACAAACAACUUUUCUACAAGAAACAAAACAUUUUAAAGAAAACAUUUACUUCAGCCGGGCGC
RNAcentral lists this long non-coding RNA (1409 nucleotides) under Homo sapiens (human). Its description in RNAcentral is "HSALNT0346015". Lineage: Eukaryota; Metazoa; Chordata; Mammalia; Primates; Hominidae. The record is from RNAcentral.